AAUUAUCAACGCGACAGCUUUUCUCUCAAAAAGCCGUCUGCGCUUGGACUUUGGAGCGUGCGGGCCCCUCUCUCCGAGAACCCGCUCCUCUUGAAAUGCAUUAGCGGUUUGCGCACUUGCAGAUCUGCCUCGGCGUGAUAAUUAUCUACGUCGCUGCGGUGAUGCCCCCUAACCCCUGUGCGGCUGCUCCUAACCGUUGCCCCUGUCGCAACAAAACCCCUUAAUGACG
This 229-nucleotide unclassified non-coding RNA is filed under the name uncultured Basidiomycota. RNAcentral describes it as "sequence contains ITS2". Lineage: Eukaryota; Fungi; Basidiomycota. The record is from RNAcentral.